This 254-nucleotide ribosomal RNA is filed under the name uncultured bacterium. RNAcentral describes it as "partial 16S ribosomal RNA". It matches the Rfam family "Bacterial small subunit ribosomal RNA", at positions 15 to 265 of the family's 1533-position model. The record is from RNAcentral.
GAUCCUGGCUCAGGAUGAACGCUGGCGGCGUGCUUAACACAUGCAAGUCGAGGGGCAGCGGGGAGUAGCAAUACUCCGCCGGCGACCGGCGCACGGGUGCGUAACGCGUAUGCAACCUACCUUUAACAGGGGCAUAACACUGAGAAAUUGGUACUAAUUCCCCAUAACAUUCGAGAAGGCAUCUUCUUGGGUUAAAAACUCCGGUGGUUAAAGAUGGGCAUGCGUUGUAUUAGCUAGUUGGUGAGGUAACGGCU